CCCUUAGAUGUUCUGGGCCGCACGCGUGCUACACUGAACGGUUCAAUGGGUAAGGUAGUGCGAAAGCAUGACCUAAUCUCGAAAUCCGUUCGUGCUGGGGAUAGAAGCUUGCAAUUAUCCUUCUUGAACGAGGAAUGCCUUGUAAGCGUGAGUCAUCAUCUCACGCUGAAUACGUCCCUGCCCUUUGUACACACCGCCCGUCGCUCCUACCGAUUGAGUGUUCCGGUGAGGCUUUGGGAGAAUGGCCUCAACAUGAGUUUAUCGUGUUUUGCCGUUUGAACUUAGUCAAACCUUAUCACUUAGAGGAAGGAGAAGUCGUAACA
This 323-nucleotide ribosomal RNA is filed under the name uncultured eukaryote. RNAcentral's name for it is "partial 18S ribosomal RNA". It matches the Rfam family "Eukaryotic small subunit ribosomal RNA", at positions 1470 to 1796 of the family's 1831-position model. The record is from RNAcentral.